Molecule: ribosomal RNA, 521 nt
Filed under: uncultured bacterium
Lineage: Bacteria
Description: bacterial SSU rRNA
Rfam family: Bacterial small subunit ribosomal RNA
Source: RNAcentral
UAGUCCACGCCGUAAACUAUGGAUACUCGUUGUUGGCGAUAUACUGUCAGUGACCAAGCGAAAGCGUUAAGUUAUCCACCUGGGGAGUACGUUGGCAACAAUGAAACUCAAAGGAAUUGACGGGGGCCCGCACAAGCGGAGGAACAUGUGGUUUAAUUCGAUGAUACGCGAGGAACCUUACCUGGACUUAAAUGUAGGUUGACAGCUUUAGAGAUAGAGUUUUCUUCGGACAAUUUACAAGGUGCUGCAUGGUUGUCGUCAGCUCGUGCCGUGAGGUGUCGGGUUAAGUCCCAUAACGAGCGCAACCCACGUUGUUAGUUACCAGCACAUAAUGGUGGGCACUCUAACAAGACUGCCGGUGUAAACCGCGAGGAAGGUGUGGAUGACGUCAAAUCAGCACGGCCCUUACGUCCAGGGCUACACACGUGUUACAAUGGUCGGUACAGAGGGCAGCUACCUAGUGAUAGGAUGCGAAUCUUUAAAACCGGUCUCAGUUCGGAUCGAAGUCUGCAACCCGACUU